CGGAGGGUGCAAGCGUUAAUCGGAAUUACUAGGCGUAAAGGGUUCGUAGGUGGUUUAUUAAGUUAUUUGUAAAAUCCCUGGGCUUAACCUGGGCAGGUCAGAUAAUACUGGUAGACUCGAGUAUGGGAGAGGGUAGUGGAAUUUCCGGUGUAGCGGUGAAAUGCGUAGAGAUCGGAAGGAACACCAGUGGCGAAGGCGGCUACCUGGCCUAAUACUGACACUGAGGAACGAAAGCGUGGGGAGCAAACAGGAUUAGAUACCCUGGUAGUCCACGCCGUAAACGAUGUCAACUAGCUGUUGGUCAUAUUGAUAUGAUUAGUGGCGCAGCAAACGCGAUAAGUUGACCGCCUGGGGAGUACGGUCGCAAGAUUA
Molecule: ribosomal RNA, 372 nt
Filed under: uncultured organism
Description: bacterial SSU rRNA
Rfam family: Bacterial small subunit ribosomal RNA
Source: RNAcentral